This 465-nucleotide ribosomal RNA is filed under the name Vreelandella stevensii. RNAcentral describes it as "partial 16S ribosomal RNA". It matches the Rfam family "Bacterial small subunit ribosomal RNA", at positions 338 to 795 of the family's 1533-position model. Lineage: Bacteria; Pseudomonadati; Pseudomonadota; Gammaproteobacteria; Oceanospirillales; Halomonadaceae. The record is from RNAcentral.
CCUACGGGAGGCAGCAGUGGGGAAUAUCGGACAAUGGGCGAAAGCCUGAUCCAGCCAUGCCGCGUGUGUGAAGAAGGCCUUCGGGUUGUAAAGCACUUUCAGUGGGGAAGAAAGCCUUGGGGCUAAUACCCUCGAGGAAGGACAUCACCCACAGAAGAAGCACCGGCUAACUCCGUGCCAGCAGCCGCGGUAAUACGGAGGGUGCGAGCGUUAAUCGGAAUUACUGGGCGUAAAGCGCGCGUAGGCGGUCUGAUAAGCCGGUUGUGAAAGCCCCGGGCUCAACCUGGGAACGGCAUCCGGAACUGUCAGGCUAGAGUGCAGGAGAGGAAGGUAGAAUUCCCGGUGUAGCGGUGAAAUGCGUAGAGAUCGGGAGGAAUACCAGUGGCGAAGGCGGCCUUCUGGACUGACACUGACGCUGAGGUGCGAAAGCGUGGGUAGCAAACAGGAUUAGAUACCCGAGUAGUC